RNAcentral lists this ribosomal RNA (253 nucleotides) under uncultured bacterium. RNAcentral describes it as "partial 16S ribosomal RNA". It matches the Rfam family "Bacterial small subunit ribosomal RNA", at positions 524 to 776 of the family's 1533-position model. The record is from RNAcentral.
UACGUAGGUGGCAAGCGUUGUCCGGAAUUAUUGGGCGUAAAGCGCGCGCAGGCGGUCCUUUAAGUCUGAUGUGAAAGCCCACGGCUCAACCGUGGAGGGGCAUUGGAAACUGGGGGACUUGAGUGCAGAAGAGGAAAGCGGAAUUCCACGUGUAGCGGUGAAAUGCGCAGAUAUCGGGAGGAACACCAGUAGCGAAGGCGGCUCUCUGGGCCGUUACUGACGCUGAGGAGCGAAAGCGUGGGGAGCGAACAGG